GCGCCCAUAGCUCAGUUGGUAGAGCGACUCCCUCUUAAGGAGAUGGUCCCUGGUUCGAGUCCAGGUGGGCGCACCA
This 76-nucleotide transfer RNA is filed under the name Candidatus Adlerbacteria bacterium RIFCSPHIGHO2_02_FULL_54_18. RNAcentral's name for it is "tRNA-Lys". It matches the Rfam family "tRNA". From Rfam's summary of the family: Transfer RNA (tRNA) molecules are approximately 80 nucleotides in length. Their secondary structure includes four short double-helical elements and three loops (D, anti-codon, and T loops). The record is from RNAcentral. RNAcentral also lists the same sequence under 1 other name. Lineage: Bacteria; Candidatus Adleribacteriota.